UACGUAGGGUGCAAGCGUUGUCCGGAAUUAUUGGGCGUAAAGAGCUCGUAGGCGGUGUGUCACGUCGGCCGUGAAAACCUGCAGCUUAACUGUGGGCGUGCGGUCGAUACGGGCAUCACUGGAGUUCGGCAGGGGAGACUGGAAUUCCUGGUGUAGCGGUGAAAUGCGCAGAUAUCAAGUGGAACACCAGUGGCGAAGGCGAAUCCCUGGAAAAUACCUGACACUGAGGCACGAAAGCUAGGGGAGCAAACAGG
RNAcentral lists this ribosomal RNA (254 nucleotides) under uncultured bacterium. RNAcentral's name for it is "partial 16S ribosomal RNA". It matches the Rfam family "Bacterial small subunit ribosomal RNA", at positions 524 to 776 of the family's 1533-position model. The record is from RNAcentral.